AAACCGAGGCAGGGAAGCUCUACGUCUUGGGGGCCGCAUGGUGCCGAGAGCGCAGACCAGACCCGCCCCGCCUCUCCGUGCCACGCACGCGCUCGGCUCCGCGCUUAAUGAAGCAGUAUCUGACUGUGUUGCCCAGGCUGGUCUUGAACUCCUGGUCUCAAAUGAUUCUCCUGCUUUGGCCUCCUAAAGUGCUGGGAUUACAGCAACGCGAAUGAAAUUUGGUGCCAUCACUCGGAUCAGGGGACCUCCCUUGGGAGAUCAAUCCCCUGUCCUCCUGCUCUUUGCUCCAUGAGAAAGAUCCACCUACGAUCUCUGCUCCUCAGACCAACCAGCCCAAGGAACAUCUCACCAAUUUUAAAUCGGAUCUUCUCAGCUUAGCGGCUGAAGACUGAUGCUGCCAGAUGACUUUGGAAGCCCCCUGGACCAUCACAGAUGCCCAGCUUUGGAUAACUCUUACAGUGGAGGACAGGAAUAUCAGGUCUCUGAGCCCAAGCUAAGCCAUCAUAUCCCCUGUGACCUGCAUGUAUGCAUCCAGAUGGCCUGAAGUAACUGAAGAAUCACAAAAGAAGUGAAAAUGGCGCGUGCCUGCCUUAACUGAUGACAUUACCUUGUGAAAUUCCUUCUCCUGGCUCAUCCUGGCUCAAAAGCUCCCCCACUGAGCACCUUGUGACCCCCACUCCUGCCUAACAGAGAACAAUCCCCUUUGACUGUAAU
Molecule: long non-coding RNA, 714 nt
Filed under: Homo sapiens (human)
Lineage: Eukaryota; Metazoa; Chordata; Mammalia; Primates; Hominidae
Description: non-protein coding LINC01356:13
Source: RNAcentral